RNAcentral lists this non-coding RNA (201 nucleotides) under Atribacterota. Its description in RNAcentral is "Candidatus Atribacteria FMN sequence". It matches the Rfam family "FMN riboswitch aptamer (RFN element)". Rfam says of the family: The RFN element is a highly conserved domain that is found frequently in the 5'-untranslated regions of prokaryotic mRNAs that encode for flavin mononucleotide (FMN) biosynthesis and transport proteins. The record is from RNAcentral. Lineage: Bacteria; Pseudomonadati.
AAACUUUUUCGGGGCAGGGUGAGGUUAAAUUAAAAGAUAGCCAAUUCCCGAUCGGUGGUGAAAUUAUUCUCCUCGCAAAUAGUAGAGAAUGCUAAAGAGGAAGUAAUAAGCCCACGAGCUCGGUAUUCAUCAUGGUGAGUAUCGAACAGAUCUGGUGAAAAGCCAGAGCCGACAGUAUAGUCUGGAAGGGAGAAGAAGUAA